AACGGCGUGUGGCGGCCUGAGGGGAGUUAUGGCCGGCUGUGCCCGGCCUGCCUCCGCCUCCUCCCGCGCCGUAUCCCUCGCACCUCAUUAGUUGCCAGUGCAGUACCCUCAGCUUGGCGCCCAUGAGUGGGGCUGCGGUAGGCCAGUGCGCGGUUGAGGGCAGCAGGGUGCCCAGGGGGGCUGUACUGAGCAGUAAGAUGGAGGACGGUCCUCUGCGGUCUGGGAAUUGUUGCUGCCGAAGGAGGUGGCCACAAAGGCUGCUUCCCAAGUCUCAGUGUGCCCCACAGCUGGCACCUGCUCUCCUAAAAACCCUGAAGCCUAUCAAGGGGGUUCACUUGGAAUAGAUGUGGGGUGUUGGUGCUGCUGACGUCUGCUGGGGGUCAGAGUGUCACAGCUGCCAGAGCCUGGGAGAGGUUGGAGUUGUGGGCGUCCUAUUUCCAUCCUUAUUGCCUCUCCAAACGAAAUACGACCAGUCCUGGGAAAACCACAGAAGUCAUCCUUGGAAGACCUACGCCCUAGUUUCAUAACCUGUGAGGGAAGUACUGCUUGGUUAACGAAAGAGAAGAAUUUCCAAAACAAAACUGUCUGACUUCAGAUGGGGCUUUCUGCAAGUUGUCACAACACUGACAGAAUUGAAGCAAGGGAACCAAACCAUGAUGUGCUUCUAUUACUCCAUCAACUGCUGAAUGUGUUUGUGGGACUGCUCAAUGAAACUGAAUCCAAAAGACACAACCAGCACCAGAUACUCUUCAGUCUUCUUGGAGAUUGGCCUCAUGUUCCUGUGCACCUGUCUGGUAGAACCUGCUUUGUUUCUCAGAAGACUCCCCAUGGAGAGCCUAGCUGCCUGAAGCCAUGCUGCAGCAACCCACAGAGUCUGACCCUAACCAUCUUCCAACAAGUUUUAUUUACAGGGUGGAAACACCAUUUGCUUAGUAACUUCUGUAGAGAAAAUAGAAGAAAACACUGGGUUUUAGAAAGAGCCUAUUGAAGGGAAAAUGGUCCUAAGAAUUGGCAAUCAUGAUCUGUGAGAGAUGGACUGUGCUUGUGCUUUGAAUCUACUCUUCUGCAUUCUUAAAUAUCAAUCUUACAGACACAGCAGUGGACGACAAGGAGGAAGAAGAAACUCUGCAUUGAGUCCAGCAAAACUAUUUCUUUGGUUAAGGUUUCAUAUAUCAUUUGGGCUAAAUUGCACUGUUACUCAUACACAUAGAACAUGAUUUCAGUGGGAGCUGGGUGAAAAAAUAAUAGAAACCAAAGAGUUUGGUCCUUGUCUUGUAACUCGGAGUCUACUGCUGAAAACAGUGCUGCAUUAAUGCUCUAAGAGUCUCUUUGGAGCAUUUUAGGUUCACACUCGCAGAAGUUCCUGAUGGCAACGGAAGGAGUUGUGCAUGUCUGGGGCAUAUCUGGUGCACACCACUUUGAGUGAUCUAGCAACCUGAAAAAAGAUGUGUCUUUGAAAGAUUACAGUGCUUUUGAAUGUCAUGUCUUUUUGAAAUCUAAAAUUCAGCAAGGCAAACAGUUACUGAAAAAUAAGGAUUUAGAGAUCUUAUCCCUUAUUCCUUUAUAUUUUCUUCUAACACACUUACAGAUAUGAUCCAAACCUGUGUUUUAAAACCAGAGAAUCCUUGAAUAUAAUCUACCCAAAGCAGUCUUUGCUUGAUUUUGGUCUCUUCUUCACAACUGAUGAUAAAACAAAGCGAUCAGGGCAAAUUGUUUGCUCUUUCCCAUGUGCCCAUUUUCAGACAGAAAAAAACUGCAACGUAUGGAAUGAUAAUUCUCUGAAAUCUAGAGGCCUAAAAAUGUGCAGGGGACUCUCUCAUAAAUAGUUUAUGUCCUCGAAGGAAGCUCCUUGGUGCAGUCUAGAUUGGAUUGAGGCCCCCUCUUUGACCAUUGUGUCUUCCUUGUAGCCAAGAAGCUCAGCACCUGUUUGCCAAGAUUUGUGCUGUCUAAGCUGCAGUGAAGCAGCUCCUUGGGAAAGUGUCAGUGUGUGAGAGCUGACUAGAAAACAUUUCCAUCACUCCUUCUUAAAAUACCAAUUGAAUAAACUACAUAUAUAUAUAUAUCUCACUUCAGUUUCUUCUCCCAUUUUCAUUGGAAGCAUUAACAGGUAAGAUGAUGGUAUGUGACACAGAACGUUUUAAACAGUUUCUUUUCAAUCAUUAAAGUACCUGCACAGUACAAAAAGCCACAGAAAUGCACAAACAGAGGGAUUUGUCUCUAAAUACCUAGAAGUCUUCUGAGAAGUAAAACCAUAUAAUAAUUGAGCUGCCAGGGUAUUUCUUAUCCAUUGAGGAACAGAACCUAGAAAUGUUUAUUACUCUGUAUUAAAUGAAAGAAGUAUUUUCUAUACUAUGUAGCUAAUGGCAAGAAUAUUUUGGCAUUGCAGUUAGAAAUGUACUUGGAAUUUUUAGGAAACAAAAAAAAAGCAACUAUAUUUUCAGAAGGAAAGAUAGAACUAAGAAAACAUGUCAUGUUUGUGCUACCCUGAAAAAUACAUCUUUGGCAAUACCCAGGCUGUGUUUUUUCUGGUUUCAGAUACUCUCUUGUUUAGCUUAAAAAAAAAUGUUUACAGUAAUAUUACCUCAACAUAAAUGGGGGGGUUCUCCCUUUGAAUUUUUAUUGGGAUUUUGAGAGAAAAAAUCUUUCUCAGCAGGAAGCUGGAGGCAAGAUUUGUUUUGCUGAAGAGCUCCAGGAUGCUGCUCAGUUCCAUCAGACAUAUUUUAUGUGAUACCAGCUCAAAAACCAGUAGAAACAUUCCUUACUUAUCCUCAUCUAGGCUUGUGAGUCAUUAGAUAGAUUUUCAGGACCCGAGACAUACAAAGGUGCAGGUUAAUAAAUUUAUUCAAAGAAAACCUUUCUCAAAUGGCAGAAGAUAAUGAUGUAUGGAAAUAGAGAUGUGCUACAUGGCCUUUCAUGGUAUUUACAUUUAGCUGGUAGCAGAGAGUUGGAGGUCCCCUAUCUCCAGUGGUGAUGCAGACUGCCAGGAUGAUUUGAUUAUGACAUAUUCAAGUAUAUGGGCCUCUGAGUGACUAGUAUAGCUGGCACCUGGAGGCUUUGCUAUGCUGUUUUGGAAGACAUCACCACCAAAGGCUGCUUUGGGUGGCUGCAGCUCCAGGGACCCCGUGGCUGUGCUCCUGGGAGGGUCCCACAGCAAAGCAACAGGACCCUGAGCUGAGGAACCUCUUUAUCUGGGAGCUGAAGCAAAGGGAGAAUGGUGACAGUGGCCGAGGUUUAUUCCCUAUGUGGUGUGAAGCAAACCCAUGCCUAUGCAAUGCCCCACCUCCCAGAGGGAUGUCCCACACCUGUCCCAGAGAUGCAAGGAUUGAGGUAUGGAACAGCUUCCACAUGGCAGAGUAUAUUUUGGGGUGAAACAGAAGCAAUGCUUUCAUUGGGGAGAAAAUAAGUA
Molecule: long non-coding RNA, 3406 nt
Organism: Colius striatus (speckled mousebird)
Lineage: Eukaryota; Metazoa; Chordata; Aves; Coliiformes; Coliidae
Exons: 5
Source: RefSeq, a predicted model, not a curated record